UUAAACAAUGUCAUCAAAAGCCAGGAGACAUUUGGGGAAGAAUACCCUAAUUUUAAAGGAUAUGUGCUAAAGUAUUUGGCUGUAGUAUCAUAAUAUGUGUGCGUUAUAUCCAAAUAGUUUGUUGAAAGAGAAGGAUAAAACAAUGUGGAAAAAUGUUAAAAAUUGCUGAAUCUCUGAAAGAUGCCAUUCUUUCAAUGCUUCUGUGGCUUUGAGAAUUUUGAAAAUAAAAGUUGGAAAUUAGCCUUACACGACCAAGGUUUGGACCAUUAUGCUGCUGGCUAUUUCUGAAUCUUGGCACCAGUGAGUAUGGGCUCCAAGUCCUCUUCAUCUGCUCUGUUAUUCUAUUGCUGCUCUUGGUUGAGGUUCAGAGCUGCAGUUUCAUCUGUCACUGAUGUUGCCACAUAUCAAAGCCGGUAAAUGUCCUGGAGUGGCCAUCUCCGUAUAGAUUGUCAAAAGCUGCAACUUAGGCCUGAGCUGCCUUGGAGGCCAAUUGAUCCAGAUGACUUUGCUCAAGAUGGAGGAGAGAUCCUGACCCAAAUCAGUCUUUGUGCAAAAGAGAAAAAAAUCUUUAUUAUGUUGGGCCGCCACCGAGACUGAGAAUUUGGUGUAUCUUUAUUAUGGCGGCUAGAAAUGAUUAUCCUCAUUAAAUGCAAUAUGAUUUGGAGAAAGAGCUGGAAGAUCUCUGGUCCACAGUGAACCACUACAAUGGCAUUAGUGACUUCAGAGGCACUUGUGGGCUAAGGGUUCUGAGUUCUAAAGCAAGACAGUAGAUUCCACUUCUGUGACUAUCAGGUUCCUGGUUGACAGAAAUAGGUUUUGCCAAUUGAUAGAGGAAGCUUCUAUUAAAGACUCCAAUGGGAUGAGAAGAAUUUUAAUUACGGCUUAAUCAGCAGCACAGCCACCAAGCAUAUAAAUUAUCAUGCACAUCGUGCUAAAAAUAUCCAGUUUCCUUUAUCCCCACAACUUUAUACUGACAGCACUUAUGUGAUAAUGUUGUACCUGCCAGUCUUUAAACUUCUUUGUUUUACUGGCAAAUUUCAGCAUGAGCCUCUGCUAAGGCCAUUAACAGCAUUGGUGCUUUGUGUACUUAUCCAAAUAUGUAAAUAUGGUCUACACAAUAAAACGGCUCCAAAUAAAAACUGGUGAAAAUUAUCUGACAUUCCAUUGGUGUGUCCCUUGUGCAUAUUCAUGGUUGUUUUUUUAUUUUUAUUUUUUAUAUUUCAGACAUAGUUCUUUCCCGUUUGGUGUUCCA
Molecule: long non-coding RNA, 1252 nt
Organism: Canis lupus familiaris (dog)
Lineage: Eukaryota; Metazoa; Chordata; Mammalia; Carnivora; Canidae
Exons: 3
Source: RefSeq, a predicted model, not a curated record